This is a long non-coding RNA of Lemur catta (Ring-tailed lemur), 129 nucleotides long. RefSeq lists it as uncharacterized. The record is from RefSeq and is a predicted model, not a curated record. NCBI's taxonomy places the organism in Eukaryota, Metazoa, Chordata, Mammalia, Primates, Lemuridae. The transcript has 3 exons.
CUUUGAUGAGCUUCCCUGGUAGACAGUAUUUCCAGAAAAGAGUGAGUUGAAAAGACACGAAGUGAAGCUGCUAUAUGACCAUCAAAUGAAACCUGUGACUUCAAUUAAGCAGAGAAAUUUGUACUGAGA